This 507-nucleotide ribosomal RNA is filed under the name uncultured bacterium. RNAcentral describes it as "bacterial SSU rRNA". It matches the Rfam family "Bacterial small subunit ribosomal RNA", at positions 791 to 1304 of the family's 1533-position model. The record is from RNAcentral.
UAGUCCACGCCGUAAACGAUGGAUACUAGCUGUUCGGACUUCGGUUUGAGUGGCUAAGCGAAAGUGAUAAGUAUCCCACCUGGGGAGUACGUUCGCAAGAAUGAAACUCAAAGGAAUUGACGGGGGCCCGCACAAGCGGUGGAGCAUGUGGUUUAAUUCGAUGAUACGCGAGGAACCUUACCAAGGCUUAAAUGUAGAUUGACAGGCUGAGAGAUCGGUUUUUCUUCGGACAAUUUACAAGGUGCUGCAUGGUUGUCGUCAGCUCGUGCCGUGAGGUGUCAGGUUAAGUCCUAUAACGAGCGCAACCCCUGUUGUUAGUUACCAUCGAGUAGUGUCGGGGACUCUAACAAGACUGCCAGUGCAAACUGUGAGGAAGGUGGGGAUGACGUCAAAUCAUCACGGCCCUUACGUCUUGGGCUACACACGUGCUACAAUGGUAGGUACAGAGAGCAGCCACUUGGUAACAAGGAGCGAAUCUAUAAAACCUAUCACAGUUCGGAUCGGAGU